This 414-nucleotide ribosomal RNA is filed under the name uncultured microorganism. Its description in RNAcentral is "bacterial SSU rRNA". It matches the Rfam family "Archaeal small subunit ribosomal RNA", at positions 330 to 746 of the family's 1478-position model. The record is from RNAcentral.
GGGCUGCAGUUAGGAAUAUUCUGCAAUGCGCGCAAGCGUGACAGAUUGAGCCAGAGUGCUUUUCAAUUGAAAAGCUUUUGCCAAAUGUAAAAAGUUUGGCGAAUAAGGACUGGGUAAGACGAGUGCCAGCCGCCGCGGUAAUACUCGCGGUCCAAGUCGCAGCCAUCUUUAUUGGGUAUAAAACAUCCGUAGCUUGUUAAAUAAGUUUCUUGUGAAAUUCUAUAUCUUAAAUAUGGAGCGUGCAAGAAGUACUGUUUAGCUAGAGACUGGAAGACGUAAGAAGUACGUUUGGAGUAGCGGUAAAAUGUGUUAAUCCCAGACGGACUAACAAGAGCGAAGGCAUCUUACGAGGACAGUUCUGACAGUAAGGGAUGAAGGCUAGGGGCGCAAAACGGAUUAGAUACCCUAGUAGUC